Molecule: ribosomal RNA, 474 nt
Filed under: Mugil cephalus (flathead mullet)
Lineage: Eukaryota; Metazoa; Chordata; Actinopteri; Mugiliformes; Mugilidae
Description: partial 16S ribosomal RNA
Rfam family: Bacterial large subunit ribosomal RNA
Source: RNAcentral
GCCUGCCCAGUGACCCCUGUUCAACGGCCGCGGUAUUUUAACCGCGCAAAGGUAGCGCAAUCACUUGUCCCUUAAAUGAGGACCAGUAUGAAUGGCUAGACGAGGGCUUAACUGUCUCCUUUUCCCAACCAAUGAAAUUGAUCUUCCCGUGCAGAAGCGGGAAUACUAACAUAAGACGAGAAGACCCUGCGGAGCUUUAGACGCCAGAACAGAUCACGUCAAAUACCUCUCUCAAACAGGUAACAACAAAUGAACCCUGUUCCACGUCUUAGGUUGGGGCGACCACGGUGAACAAAAAAACCCCCGCGUGGACUGAGAGCACAUAUUCACACUCAUAAUACUGCUUCUCACAACCAUGAGCUACAGCUCUAAAUAACAGAACUUCUGACCAAAAAAAUGAUCCGGCAAUGCCGAUUAACGGACCAAGUUACCCCAGGGAUAACAGCGCAAUCCUCUUUAAGAGUCCAUAUCGAC